CCCUUAGAUGUUCUGGGCAGCACGCGCGCUACAAUGGUCUUCGCAAACGGAUGCAUUCUCGAAGGAGAAUGCCAAUCUUGGAAUCUAUGCCUUGGUCGGGACAGUUGCUUGCAAUUUUUCGACUCGAACCAGGAAUUCCUUGUAAUCGUGAUUCAUCACAUCACGAUGAAUACGUCUCUGCCCUUUGUACACACCGCCCGUCGCUACUACUGAUUGAACUGGUUUUUAAAGUGUAGAGAUUUGCGAGUAUAGGUUCGUGCAAACGGGCCAUUGCCAUUGCAGAGAACCACUCUGAAAAAAUCGUUUGAGAAGAAGUAAAAGUCGUAACA
This 329-nucleotide ribosomal RNA is filed under the name uncultured eukaryote. Its description in RNAcentral is "partial 18S ribosomal RNA". It matches the Rfam family "Eukaryotic small subunit ribosomal RNA", at positions 1470 to 1796 of the family's 1831-position model. The record is from RNAcentral.